GCCUUACAAGAAAGACAUGGCCUGAAGUUUAAGACCUGAGGUGAUGAGAAGGAGAGUAUUUCUGAACUAGUGUGUGGAGAUAAUCUGGUGCUGAGCCAACCCUUUGAGGCCUGGAAUACAAGGACAAAAGUUUUGAAUUUGAUUCCCACUGCAACAGGAACCCUGUUUAGUGAUCUCGGUGAGUGAGUCAUUGCGAGGGUAUGAACCAGAGUACAACACCAGCUGCAGAGGACAUUCAAGGCCAACAAGUCUCUAUCCUCUCAGACACAGAUGUACAGGAGAUCAGAGACAGCAAGGAAGAGACGGACUCUUCUGCCCCCACCAUCUGCCCCCAAUAAUUUAGCAAGUCUUACGAGAGGAAAAAACAGCAUUAAUCACUUGGCCAUUAACUCCGAGUCAUAGCCAGAGGCACAAAUUUAAGGUCUUCUCACCAUCUGCUAUUGAAGUCAGAAGUGGAUAGAUGUAAAUGAAGUCUCUUUAUUAAGACUAGUUAAGGAAUGAUGGUCAUGGCCCAUAGCAAUGAUGAGAAAACAGGCUGAAUUUUUUUUUCCGAGCAGCUCACAGAAGAGCUAACAUCAUUAAGCAGGAUUGCCAGGUUUCAGCAAAACAUCUUGCACAACUACAAGAUAGUCUUUAAGAAAGCCUUUGACAAAA
Molecule: long non-coding RNA, 654 nt
Organism: Ictalurus punctatus (channel catfish)
Lineage: Eukaryota; Metazoa; Chordata; Actinopteri; Siluriformes; Ictaluridae
Source: Ensembl